RNAcentral lists this long non-coding RNA (439 nucleotides) under Coffea arabica (coffee). RNAcentral's name for it is "long non-coding RNA (CARA_LNC007329)". Lineage: Eukaryota; Viridiplantae; Streptophyta; Magnoliopsida; Gentianales; Rubiaceae. The record is from RNAcentral.
CCAGUUUGGUGUGUUUUCUUUGCUAUGUGUUUGAGAUAUGUGAAAAGGGCACUUAGGCGAGGGUGUACUUUAUCGCACUCGACCUAAACCCUAAUUUGAAUGUAUAAUUGUACUUGGCAUAUGUAUAUGAACCUUUUGGAACCAAAACCCUAGAGCUUGUGGCUCGGGGCGACUUUCGAAUAAAUUUUGUGAAGUUUGCAAAGUUUGUGAUUUUGAAUAAUUUUGUGAAGUUUGUGAGUUUGGGGCGAACUCUUGACCUGGUUGGACUAUUCGAGCCGGUUAGGGCUUGGUCGAAGGCAGUCCAACUUAGUCUGAGGUCACCAAGUUUGUAGGUUCAUGUUAUGAACCAAUUUUGUAAAUCCGGUUCACCGAGAAGGUGACCAAGUUUGUGACCCGAGCUUGUGACUCAAGCUCAAGUUUGUGAUUUCGUUCGCCCGGG